UACGGAGGGUGCAAGCGUUAUCCGGAUUCACUGGGUUUAAAGGGUGCGUAGGUGGGCAGGUAAGUCAGUGGUGAAAUCCUGUAGCUUAACUACAGAACUGCCAUUGAUACUAUUUGUCUUGAAUACCCUGGAGGUGAGCGGAAUAUGUCAUGUAGCGGUGAAAUGCUUAGAUAUGACAUAGAACAUCUAUUGCGAAGGCAGCUCACUACGGGAAUAUUGACGCUGAGACACGAAAGCGUGGGUAGCAAACAGG
RNAcentral lists this ribosomal RNA (253 nucleotides) under uncultured bacterium. Its description in RNAcentral is "partial 16S ribosomal RNA". It matches the Rfam family "Bacterial small subunit ribosomal RNA", at positions 524 to 776 of the family's 1533-position model. The record is from RNAcentral.